This 253-nucleotide ribosomal RNA is filed under the name uncultured bacterium. Its description in RNAcentral is "partial 16S ribosomal RNA". It matches the Rfam family "Bacterial small subunit ribosomal RNA", at positions 524 to 776 of the family's 1533-position model. The record is from RNAcentral.
UACAGAGACUGCAAGCGUUAUUCGGAUUUACUGGGCGUAAAGAGCGCGCAGGCGGUCGUACAAGUCGCGUGUGAAAGCCCCCGGCUCAACUGGGGAGGGUCACGCGAUACUGUUCGACUCGAAGGCAGGAGAGGGAAGCAGAAUUCCCGGUGUAGUGGUGAAAUGCGUAGAUAUCGGGAGGAAUACCAGUGGCGAAGGCGGCUUCCUGGCCUGUUCUUGACGCUGAGGCGCGAAAGCUAGGGUAGCAAACGGG